GUGUGUGUUCGUGAAGCUUCAGGAGCUCUCAAGAACUCCAAACCCUAAACAUGAAAGAUCAUCCAAAUUGAAAGGCUAAAUGAUGCUUAAAUCUAUAACCGAGCAUGGAUUAAUGAUCACCAACAUGAGGAGAUCAUAAGAUACGUAUGAAGAUAGCAUGUCUACGGGCUCAAGCACGGAGGCUAAUGGGUCAAAAGAAAGCAUGGAACCUAUGCUUGAACUUGGACGCUCAAGGUAAGUGAUUUCCGUAAUCACUUCUUAGUUCAAGUAAGUAAUAAAGUGUUGAAAUUAAUUAAACAUGAUGUUUGAGGUUAAAUAUGUAGGAAAGUCUUUCGUCGUAAAUGAUGGGAUUAAAGUUGACCAAAAUGCCCUUGAUGGGUAUUUUGGGCAAACGAUCUUAAUAAGUAGUUUAGAAGCAAGUUAUUGAUUAGUGUAAUGUCUUGGACAAGUAUGGAAGCGAAGAGUAUGGUCUUGGUAUGUCAUAAACCAUUUAACGCGCAAAUACCCUUAACGGGUCAAAACUAAGUAUAUGAACGAUAAUGUGUUAAGAGGAUGCAAAAUGUCUAAGAACUUAUUAUUUUAUGAUAGAUGUCACUGAUAUUAUUAGGUUUAUAAGAGUUUAUGGUAAAACAAACAAGUUACGUUGAUGAAUGCAUGAACGGGUCGAAUUGUGGGUAAGAGGGUAAUAAGCCGAUAGCGUGUAAGUUAAGAUUUUCCUUAAGGCGGUUAUGGGAUUUUAAGUUCAUUUGAUAGGAUGUGAAUUUACAAGCAUGUAGGAAGAAACGGGAGGUUAAACGGGUAAACGGUUCGAAAGUUACGUGCGUUUUAGUGCGUACGGACGACGAAACGAACCUGCAGAA
Molecule: long non-coding RNA, 860 nt
Filed under: Helianthus annuus (common sunflower)
Lineage: Eukaryota; Viridiplantae; Streptophyta; Magnoliopsida; Asterales; Asteraceae
Description: hypothetical non coding rna
Source: RNAcentral